Passer domesticus (house sparrow) is the source of this 1698-nucleotide long non-coding RNA. RefSeq lists it as uncharacterized. The transcript is spliced from 4 exons. The record is from RefSeq and is a predicted model, not a curated record. Lineage: Eukaryota; Metazoa; Chordata; Aves; Passeriformes; Passeridae.
UGACCCUGCUCCUCCUGCUCCAUAGUUCUUUAAUUCCAGGAUAAUAUCUGGCUCCUAUUUGCCCAAGACUAGAGCAAAAAGGGACAUCAGCACUGUUGCAAUAGGGACAGAGUGGGAUGGCCAGGAAGUCCCUCAUGAGCCUUCUUGUGAAGGUUCCAGGCUUUCCAGGACUUUUUGUUUGUUUGUUUGGGCUGGGUUCUUUUAAGAGGGAGAAGGACUCAGGUGUUUUGUGAACACAGAUCGAUUUAGCUGAUACAGGGGCAGGUGAGAACUGAUUUUCAUGAGGGCAACCUGUGAAUGCUGCUGUAGGUGCUUGUCUAGUCCAGAACAACCCUCAGGGGAGACCUACACCCCUCACCUUACCACAGACAGAACGUGAAGAGAGCAUUUGGGAUCAUCACUAUUACUCUUCUGACCACAACGCUACUGAUACCCUGGGACAUUUUUCUGAUGUUGUGUAUGAAGCCAGUCUUGAAGAAAGGUAUCCUUCAGGAACUGUGGAUCCCUGGAUCUGGAAAGAAAUGUAUGGUAACCAGAUUAUCCUCAAGCCUCCCAGACUGCUUUAAUAUUGAUAGAAAUUCAGAAGUUAUUGCAGAUGGAUUUGGAGCACAGAGCAGUAUCCCAGGAAGUGACACCUUCUUGGAAUGAGACUUUGCAAAGGGACAACCGUCACAGUCUCCAGCCACUGGUUUAUUCCACAGCGCAAAAUUUCCUAAAGGAAAAAAAACAGGCUUAGGAGUCUGAUUCAGCAGCCUAUGCAAGAAGGACUGAUGACCAGCAUGACACACCAUGCUUGCCCCAUUCUUUCUCUGUGGGACAUUUGAAAAAAGGAUUUAUCUAAUCCCUUCCUACAACAAAAUAUUAAGAAUAUUUUCCUCCAGCCCUUUAUACACCACCUGCAGUGCCCUGCAUUAGGACUUUACCUGAGGCCAUAAGAUGCCUCUGCUCAAAAAGGGGCAUUGCUGGGGCAAGUGAAAAGCAGCCAUCACCUUCCUGCUCACCUGAAACAUAUGCACACACACAGAGUGAAGUCCACCCCUCUCAGCCCUUCAGUGAGACAACACUUCAUCUCCCAGUCUCCUGAAUCUGUCAGCUGGUUAUUUCAGCUGCACCACCAAGUCUGGCAACCAAGCCCUUUCCCUGGUCUUUCAAGCUACUCAGCAAGGGCCAACACUGCCUAGAGAGGAUCUUCUAGAAACCAAGGACUGGCACUGGAUAAUUCAAUCACAGAGCUGAAAAGCUCUGCAAGCCACAGAGAGAAAAUACCCCUCUCCCCCUCUUUCUCUUCUUUCUAGAUAUCACCUAGAAAAAACUCAUCCCCUCUAAUGCCGCCCUUUCCUGUUGUCAUAACACCUUUUACAAAUGGAGGGUGUGAUGCUCUACCACCAAACCCAAAAUGUUUUCCCUACUGGUUUUGUUCCACACAGCCCCCUUGGGUAGGUACCCCUGAAAGUUCCCUGUCUCCCUCACCCAAACCCCACAUCUCCUCAUGAGGGGAGGCAAGACCUGGGCCCAUCAUCUCUGUCAGGUGUCCACACAGAUGCACAAAUGCAAGCCAAGAGCCACAGCCCCAGGGCUGAUUGCCUGUUUCUUAGGUAUGAAGUUUCCCCAUGAUCCUUAAAGCACAUGACUGUAACUCUGCUCACCCCCACACCCCUUUCCAGUGCUGUAUCACAUGUAUCUGUCCACGCUUCUGCC